GUUAUUUAUCAAGCUCUUAAUAAAUUAAAUAGUGAUUUAACAAAUAUAAUGUAAAAGAAUAUUCCAAGAAUAACCUUGGAGUAUCACUUGAAUUUUCAAAACGACCUAACAAUGCUAAACUAUAAGCUCAUAACUCAUAACCUAUCAAAAAAAGUACAGAUAAAACAAAAAAACUAUUUAAAUCUUGAGAAAUGAAAUAUGAGAAAAAAAAUGAAAAGAGAAGAAAUAAAUUUUAAAGUAUAUGUAAAUUUUAGAUAUUAAGUUUGUUGACCUUACCCACUUGAUUGCCA
Molecule: long non-coding RNA, 290 nt
Filed under: Cucumis sativus (cucumber)
Lineage: Eukaryota; Viridiplantae; Streptophyta; Magnoliopsida; Cucurbitales; Cucurbitaceae
Description: long non-coding RNA (CSAT_LNC003133)
Source: RNAcentral